UAAUGUAUGGGGAUCUGCCCGACAGAGGGGAAUAACUACUGGAAACGGUGGCUAAUACCGCAUAAUGUCUACGGACCAAAGCAGGGGCUCUUCGGACCUUGCACUAUCGGAUGAACCCAUAUGGGAUUAGCUAGUAGGUGGGGUAAAGGCUCACCUAGGCGACGAUCUCUAGCUGGUCUGAGAGGAUGAUCAGCCACACUGGGACUGAGACACGGCCCAG
Molecule: ribosomal RNA, 220 nt
Filed under: uncultured bacterium
Lineage: Bacteria
Description: partial 16S ribosomal RNA
Rfam family: Bacterial small subunit ribosomal RNA
Source: RNAcentral